GGAAAUAAAAAUACUAUCUCUACUCGCGAGAUCUUAUUCUUUCUACAUUCUCUUAUCAAAGUAUUGUACAAUGUUCUCUGCAAAUCGUAAAAAUUAAUUUUACGCCGGAUCUUAAAUCAGUGCUCAAUUAUGAAUGGUGAAUCUAUGAUCAGAGAAAUGAAAAAAGAAAAAGGAAGACAAUAAUUGAUGAACCAUCACAAAAGAGAAAAUUAUUAUGAUUUACGUUUCCUAAAUCAUGUUCCAGAAAUUUUAAGAACCACUUUUAAUAAUCAAAUAUCUCAAACCAAAUCAAUGAAGAAACCCAUUGAUUUUCUAUCCUUGUGAUGAAUAUGUUGCUUCAUUCUUCCUUAAAAUCUGUUACUAUUCUCAACCUCUUGAAAACCCAUUACUAGUUGAGAAAUAUGAAUCAAAAUUUAUACCUAACUGAUUAAUCUCGUAAGCCAAUUUCAACAGCAGCAGAAUCAGUUUUAUCACAGUCUUCGGUCUAAUCUCAGUUGAUAGUUGAUAUUAGGUUGAAACCCAAUUUCAAAUUUAUUCUGAAAAGGCUAUGUUAGUCAUUGGAACAGUUGGACAGGGAGAAGAACAUAUCCUCAGGAACAAAGAGUUUUCCUUUUACUUAUUUAUUUCGUUAAAUAAGAAUUCAACGAAAAGAUAAUAUAUUGUUAAAAUAUAAUCCACGUGGCGUCCUGUGAGUGGUCGGGACAGGGGCACAGGGGGAUUUCAGGGGACAGACGAUCUGCACCCGCUUUUGAUUUACUUUCUCAACUUCUUUUCUGUCAGUGUUCUUCUUUUCGGUUCAUCCUUCUUCUCUGAUGCAGCUCCUCGAAUUAAGGGUCUUCAAGGAAGAGAAGCAGAUUGGGGUUGGUGGUUGAUCUCACCAGGCAGUUCCACUCUCUACUCAAUAAGGAUAACACUUUCACUGAGGAUGCACCUUUUGGAACUAUCGGUGAUAUGGCUAGCAUGAGGCCAACUUAGCGCUGACUUAUAGGAAAAUUAGGGGAUCGACAUGAGGCAGUAUAAGCAAUGACGAUGGGUGUCAGACGACUAACUUCCGUAGAAGGUAAUUUUCCUGCUGCCUCCUACAGCGAAUACAUUUCUUCAGAGGUGAAGAAUUUCGCUCGACGGUGCCAUGGUAACCUCUCUUACAAAUGUGGAACACCCUCGAGUAGUUCAACCACAAUUCAUACACAGAUACCUCCAAAUGCACAUUUAUGACACUCCAACAUCUACAUCUGGAGAAUGAAAACCUAAGAGUAGUUCAACCACAAUUCAUACACAGAUACCUCCAAAUGCACAUUUAUGACACUCCAACAUCUACAUCUGGAGAAUGAAAACCUAAGUAUCAUAAUCGUAAAGUGAGUUGGAGCGGCAUCAGUAUGCAAUGAAAACCUAAGUAUCAUAAUCGUAAAGUGAGUUGGAGCGGCAUCAGUAUGCAACAAUCCAGCGAGGCAUAGUUUUUAAAAUCGUGCGAUUUGCGAUUCAAAUGGCACGGAAGAAUUGAAUCUUCCCAGAAUCGUUUAGAUUCCGUUUUUUAUGCGAUUGUUGACCUUGAAAUUCGUUUGACCACUCAAGUUUCUUCACUAUUUAAAAACAUACGCCCAAGGAGUUUCGAACUACUAUCAUACCGCCUGUUGCCAUCUCACUGUAACCAAUUGUGUUGUGACUUGGUUUGGGGAUAAUGAGGAGAUUUUAAUUGAUUUAUCCACUUUCUCAUAAAACAUUUAAGCUUGAAUUUUAAUUCUUGUCAUUUCUCUUUUACUAAACGCAACAACAAUCAAGUUGCAGAUAGUAUUGUGAAUUCUAUGAGAGAGACAGCUAUGCAUGUUUAUCACACUAGUAAUUUCCCUGAAUAUCUUUGUAGCCUAUAGCAAAGGAUUUACACAAUCCUAUUACUUAAGCAAUAAAAUUUUACUUUAUUAAAAAAAAAAAAACUACUCAUUCAUUGAAUAUUGCAUGUACAUUAACUUUAUUUCUAUAUAUACAUUUCCAUUUCAAAUUUAUAAUGUACAUAUAACGAUUUAAUAAUCAACCGUGAAUUUACGAUUUACGAUUCAACAUACGAUUCGAUUCAUAAAAAUGAAAAAACGGUUCACGAUUUAAAAACCUUGCAGCAAGGUAUGUAUUUGAUCACAAAAUUUCCAGUUUCUAGAACUUUUUAAUUUCGCCAGAAUGCAGCUUUUGCUUUAAAUUUGUAGAAUUCAGUUUUCUAUUAAUAUGUUUAAAUUUCAACUUUAAAAAUGCUAAUUAUCAUUAAUUUUUAUUACAAUGAUAAACUACAGUGGGUUUUAAAUUUUGAUUUCAAUGGGUUGUUUAUAAUGAAAGUACUCUUGGUUAUGUGCUUUGUCAUCCUCUUCUGUACAUGGGUAAUAUUUUGUUUUCUAUAUAAGAAAAUUGUUUUACAUUGUCUCCAUUAUGGAUGAUAAUGGAGCUUCUGGAGCUUUUCUUUAUUCAAUUUGUUAAAAACUGAACAUUAGAAAUCUGAUUAACUGACACGACCGUAACAUUUUGAGGACCUGAGAAUAACAAUAUUACUCAGUUAGGGAGCGAAUGUUUUAGGUAUAGUUGUACAUUUUCUAACUACUACAUCCAACAAGAUCUAAUGAACAUAAAUCAUUGAAAAUCAAGCAUGAAAGAUAAAAGUGCAUAAAAGUAAAGAUUAACACAAGGAUUUUAUAGUGGUUCGGCCAUUAAAAGACCUAUAUCCACUUUGUUUUCACUAUUAUUUGUGGUGUUACACAAAGAUCCAUGAAUAGAAGUCCUCAACGGACUUGAAACUCCAUCCAUGGAGGAAGACGAGGUAGAGUAUAUCUUAGAGAGAGAAGAGAAGCAGGAGGAACCCCCUUUUAACCUAUAUCUCCUUCUCUUAUAUAGGGGGUAUUGUACAUCGAAUUACAUUACUGCCCUUAGGGCUGACUAGAUGCUGACUAGUUAGGAUAAGGAUUACAAAAGGUAGUAUUUUUGUGUAGUUGCUUGUAGUAUUAUAUGAUGCAUCCGUCUAGAUCUUGUGCCACGUGUCGAGUUGAUAUUUUACUCUCACAUUUUGCUCCUUUUAUUGGAGGCUCUUCGAAGAAGAAUCUUCAUGAAAAUCUUCUUUAGGUGUUGUUUUUGAGGCGAGAUGAGUGGUCGGAUAAGGUUUUGAAAAGUCUUGUUUCGAAGCAUUUUUGCUCCAAGUUGAUCUUAUGAUCGUCCUCCUUUUCGCCUAGCCAUGAGUGUUGAUUCACCGAGUUACAUUCGUUUUCACUGAAACAUAAAAUACAAAAGCAAACUUUACUUUAUUCGCCUUUUUAGGGUGACGACCCUCUCCGUUUGUUGUACUAUUUCCACCAUUAGUGAUUUGAAUAGCAAUCGUGAAGUUUCUUCUUCGUCGUGCUUCAUUAUGUCAUUCUCCAAAUGUGCCUUAGAUGCUUAUGAGCAAGUAGGCUAGCACUUCAUUAUGGUGCUUCGAUUGUUUGCUGAAGGGACUGAGCAAUAAGAAUACUAUUUAUUUUAAAAGUAUUAAUACUUUCCCAUAUUUUUAUGUGAAGUUCCAAGACCUACGUCGCGCAUCUUGAUGGCGUAGUUUUUGCUGACAUCUCGUCAUUAGUAUCUCCUAGUCCCUUGUUUGGUGAGUAGUUAUAAAUGUGAUCUCCUGUAUAGGGAUCACCUUGGUCAUUGGUCCAAAAACAUUUGUGUGAUAGUUUUGCAAUGUAUAUGCUAUGUUUAUCUUUCGUUUGCCUCCGGGUAGGAUUUUAAGUUUUAUAUUAUUAUUUUCAUGCUUUGAUAAUAAGCACUACGACCAAGUAUUUGGUUGUUAUGAGCUCUCCAUCUGGACUCCGAGAUACAUCCAUUCCGAGGUACAUCUUCAUUAUUAUGGUUAUGGGGUCAUCUGCCAUCGGGUCAUGCUUGCUCUAAUGACUGGUUUCGGCUCACGAUGAGCUUCGUGUUGUGGUUACCUCAUGGUGAAUCAAUUGCGCCAUGGUAUUCAUUUUCGUCAAGAGUUUGCUCCUUCACAUGUGUUUUUUCCAAGAUGAUGUGGUCCUUGGAUUCGUUCUCGCCUUUUUAUUUAUCGCCAUGCUCCUCGGUGGAGUGUUGUCUCCUUCAUUUAUUCAUGGUUUAUUGAGGGAAAUUGCCUUUUCCUUGCUUCCCAUCGUAGUCACCAUCGUGGGUCUUUUUGAAAUGCCAUUUGUUUGCUGCAAGUUUAUGAGUUACACAUCUUUUGUUGUGAUGUUCUCAUCGUGCAUCUAAGAAGUUCUCCAUCGUAAGAGGGCAUUCUCAAGGAUUCUCCUUUCUCAUAAAAUGCAACAAUAAAUUUAAUCGUCAAUCAUCGUUGUGGGGUGAUGACCCUCUUUUUUUGUUUGCGUCAUUCUUUGGCACUACAAUUGUUGGUAAAGGAACUGUGUAGGGGAAUAUGAUUUGGUCCUUUGUAAUAUACAUACUUGCCCCUAUUCUCAUACUCAGUUCCGAGGCACAGUUAGUGCCCCUACUUGAUUCAAUUCAUCAUGUUAUUUCUCCUUUAAAUUUAUUUUUUAGUUUUAUUGGAUUAAUAGUUGGUGAUUAAUUCCAACUAACUGCUGUAAUUAAUGAGAUUAAUAUUUUCCAAGCUCCCUUCGGGCCACCAUGUUGCUUCCCGACACUAUUGUGAAGGGUUGGUUGGGACGGACCUCGUGUUCCUCCUAGAUAGAUCUCGUCACUGUUAGUGAGAUUGGUGUAUGACUAUUCGCCUAAUAGCUUAGAAAUGGAUGUGCCUCGUUCGGAUUUUGUUCGUCUCUUCCCUUUGGUUGAGUUUUACUUUGUACUGUUCACUUCUUGCUCCUAGGAAAAUUUAUUGUAUUUUACACCGUUGGGUUCGGUUGUCCGGAUCGCCCUUGUUUUUGCUGACCUUCCAUCGGUCUUUGACACAAACUGGAAAAUGUAUUUUAAACAUCAGUCCACCCGCCUUGGGAAGGAAUUUGUCUUCUUCGCCGCAACCUCUUGAGUAUGGAUACGUUGGUAUUGAAAUCGCCUUUUUAUGAGGUUUGCAUAAUUAUAGCGUCUCUGGUACGUCUUUGUUGCAUCAUUUCUGCGAUUUAAAAAUAAGAUUGGUCUUUCUUAUUUGAGAUUUUAGGAUGAUUUUUCAUCUCCUGGCCAUCGUUACUACGUGGUGGUGUUGGUGAGGUGGCAUUUUGCUAAAUGCAUGUGCCCCUGCCUAUGUUUUGGGUUCCAAGUACUCCCUUGGAUUGUUGCGCUUCGCAUUGGAUUGCGCCAGUAUUUCUAUUUCAUAGAGUUAGUUUAUCUCCUUGCAUCGGGUGGCCCUCCUGAUGGUUUGGACUGCACUCCUUGUUAACCACCAUAGUGGUCCUCGUGUAUUGUGUCGAGGAGAUGUUUAAUGGCUGGUCAUGGUGACCUUUUAAGUAAGUUCGCUUCCGUCUUGAGGCGAAAUUCAAAGUACUUUUGUACAACUUCUAUGGCUUUUGUGAUUUUACCACUUUUUUGGAAUGAAAUAUUUAUUUUUUGUUAUAAUUUGUUAUGGCUUUGAGGAUGUUUUUCGUUUAUGCCAUUAAUCCACCCAUGGAUGACAAAGUCAAUGAGUGAUCAGUUCCUUAACUGGACAGGUCAUCUCUUAUGGUGUUGGAUUUGGAGUAUAACGAAUUUCCUUGCUCGCCUUUAUUAUUUUAAAAGUGUCAUGUUUAGGUUACAUUUGCCCCUUGGUCGAGUGAUCAGAUGUUUGAGUCACUUACUUUUUAACCAUUUUUUGAAGGGCGAUACCUCGGUUAGGUGAUUCUUGCCUUAGCCAGAGACAAGUACCCCAAUUCUGGAUAUCUCCUGUUAUGGCAAGACAUCAUCCGAUUUCAUGAUCGUGAUGGCAUUACCUUAGAUAUGUUUCCGUCUUAGGUAGCUUAGGGUGUCCCCUGCUUCAUCUUACUUCGCUGGCUAGAUGGCAUUGCCGUAGGUAUGUUUCCGUCUUGGGCAGCUUGGAUAUUGUUCCCGCAUCAUUCUUUGUAGAAUGGAAGGUGUGGCUAUCACCGUGCCAUAAUCUUGAUGGACUUUUAGAAGAGUAUGGUUUGGAAUCCAAAUUUUCUAACUAUAUGCAAUGCAAAAAAGAAAAAAUAUAAACAAAACAAAAAUAAAUACUAAAUACUAAAAUAUUCAAAAGAAAAAAUUAAAACAAACAAAAAGAAAAUGUUCAAAAGAAAUGCUUACAUUAUUGUUCCAAAUGGAAUCCCAUUCAAGGAAAGUAGCCUUUGCUAGUUCGACUUCGUGGCUUCUUCUAGCGAUUAGUAUACUCCAUAUUUAAUGGUAUUGGAGGAAUGUAUCCUCCAAGCUAUUCCAUAUUUAAUGGUCUUGAAGGAAUGUAUCCUCCGAAUUUUGUCAUUCUCGUUAGAAUGGUAAGGGACUUUCAUGUCUCUUAUCGGAGAUGUCUGAUGUUGCUUGGCUAAAUGACCUUCUUAGCAAUAUUUUCCUUUCGCUGAGGAUUAUAUGGAGAUCUUAUCUGGCUCCCCUGUUUUGAAUGUCAUCGUGGCUUAAAUUGCAAGGUGUCGGGCUCGUCUGGCUCCUGUGAGACUCAUUAUCUCGGACCUAAAAUGUGUUGUCUUAUUGUGAUGUCACUGUGUAUAUUGAUUUAUGAUCGUCAGUGUCAGCUUUUCGCUGAUGGUGGUGGAAGUUACUUCAUAGUUUGGCUUUCUCGUGGGGACGCCUUGGAUUGCUGAGCGAUGUAGCUCUAAGCAUGAUUUCAUGUGUGAGUUUCUCCUUUAUUGGUAAGAACGAGCUAUGGUUACUGUGGCUGUAACUUCAAGCAUGGACUUCGCCUAUGUCAGCAAGAUUGUGCGUCAUGGGAAUCAUAAUUCAUUAUGGAACUGAAUCGCUUACUUCGUCUUGGUAAAUUAAUCAGUGUACAGGGCUCUCAGUUAUGAGGUGCUCCUGGAAUUUAGUACAUAACUAGUUAUUCAUUCAUAAAUGGUGGUUCGUUCAACACCGUCUUGACUUUUCAUUUUGUCAUGAGUAUGACGAAAGUGAGAUGAGAAAUUUAAGCUCCAUCCGCCAUUGUAGGGUGACGACCCUUUUUGCUCAUAGGGGUUCUGCGACUUGUUAUCUGUUGCUAUAGAAUUUAUACUUCGAGUUUUGGUGUUACAUUUUUGACAGUAGCAUUUCUUUGAUGCCCCAUUCGUAAAUUGCUGUUGGUGCAGCAGAUAGUGUGGACGGUGGUCACAGUUUAUUAUGUACUUUGGUUCCCUUGGUUGUCAUUCAUCUGAGGGAAGUAGACGUCCGUCAUUAGCUCCUGAUUUUUUCUUUAGGUCACACAUAGUUGUGCCAGAAUGUUUAUAGUCCUUCAUGAAUCUUACGUUAAACUCUUGCUGUCAGGGAGACAACCUGUUAUAGAGUGUACGCCUUAUUUGAAACCGAAAAUGGGCUAUAUGGUCAAAAUUGUGUGUUUCCUGGGCUAAAUGGACAGUUAGGAUUUAGCCUGGGUCAAAUGGACAGAGAAAUCUUUUUAAUUGAAACUGACCCAAUUACCCCUCUCCAGAUCUCCACCAUUUCCAUUCUUUCUUCUUAUGCUCUCGAUCUUCUGUUUCUCCACCACCACCGUUUCAGUCAUGAUGGUUGUUGUUACUUCUGUGAGAUCGAGAAUUGAGAGAUUUGAUGGGCAGAGAAGAUGGUGGUCGACGUGAUGGGUAUGAUGGCUAAGAUCGAGAAUCAGUAAUGAGUUGACUCGAAUUUGGAUUAUGAAAUUGAGAGUUGCAGUGAAUGAAUGAAGUUAGGGUUUGCUUCUUCGGGUAAAUCAGAUGAAGAAAUUUGUGAAUUGAUAAGGGUUUCCGAAGAUAGAGAGGAUGAAAUUAAGAUGGGUUCGAUCUGUGAAUCCGUGAUCUGAGAGCUUCCACAAUUAAAUUGAUUCGAGACUGUGUAGUUGAUGGGUUUAAUGGCCGAUUGAGUUCAAGAAGAUGAAGUUGCAGAAAUUGAUAUGGGACUGAACUUAGUUACAGCAAUGGAAGAUUGAGAAGCAGAUGGGAUAGAAGGAGGAGCAGCAGAUGCUGCUGUUGAAUCUGAAACGAAAUUGUAAUGGUUUUGAGGUUGGAUCUGUGAUGGCUUGCAGUGAGGUUAUGAACUUGAAAUUCAGGGUUUGACUCAACAGAGGAAACGGGGGUUUGAAGCUGCUUCUGAUUGAAUGCAAUGGUGGUGCUGAGCAUUAAAAAUUUUCUUCCAUCAAUUUCACUGAUGGUAGUAGUACCGGUGGAUGUGCUCGAAAUGAGGUUAGAUGGUACUCGCAAUGGCUGCAGUGUUGGUGGUCUGCUAUGUUGGUGUAACUAUAAAAUGAAAUAAACUGGCUGGUGCAGAAAUUGCAGUGGUGACAGAUAUGAAUACGCAGCUGGUGCUAUGUACUGUGAGUGAUGGAUGCUGAGUAAACAAGAAAUGGAGGAAAUGAAAUGUGUUUGAGGUGCUAGGGAAGAUGCAGCUGUUAUGAGUCCAAGUGCAUCUGAAAUUAUGAGUAAAUAAGUCAUGUGUGUUCAUGGUGGAGCAGUUGGAUGCAGUGAAAGUUGAAGUUGCAACUGUGGAAUGUGGAAUGAUGGAACAACAAUCAUGGCUGGAUGUAGUGACUCAGCCUCGACAUUUUUUUUUUCUUUCAGAUUUGGUAUUGUUGGUGCCCAUCAAAUACUCAAAAAUUUUGGGAUAUUGAUGUUAGAUUAAAUUUGUACGUGGGACAAAUUUGUUUGCUAUAAAAAACUUAGUUUAAA
Molecule: long non-coding RNA, 8687 nt
Organism: Papaver somniferum (opium poppy)
Lineage: Eukaryota; Viridiplantae; Streptophyta; Magnoliopsida; Ranunculales; Papaveraceae
Exons: 5
Source: RefSeq, a predicted model, not a curated record